UUGCAGACAUGACAUUAGCUGAUCCGUAGAAAUCCAUACGUAUCAUCUGAAGCGGCUCAGUAAUGUUAAUCAUAUCUUUGCUUCUGUGCGAUGCUCCUUCGACUUCCCUAUUUUGACAUAACUCAUAUCCUACAUCCAAUUUGAAUUCCAGAUGAGGUAGUCCUCUCACCAAUGCUCUUCUUACUAAUAAAAAGAGCUCCUUGUUUUGACAUACAAGUUUGAGAGCUUCAAGUGCCAUAGCUAAUACUCAUCUGAUGAGGCUUCACUAUCAAAACAGCUCACUCCAUCUUCAGUUGAAGUUCCAUAUUAGCUACGAGCAAAAUUCACAUCCUUCCUGAUUUGAGAUAAAACACUAUUCCAUGAACUGACAUACUGUCAUUUGUUAGAGAACAGUCUGAUACUAGGAAUUUGUGUGCUUUGACUCUUCCAAGAAAGAUAUUCUUCCAUGAUGACAUUCCAGGAAAACAGGCAUGUCCCGUAAGAGAAUCUUUGUUGUCAUCUUUCAAAGAUUAUUGACGGAACUGCUCACACGAUCACAUUUGCUGACAGGGUACUUUUGGUAAAUAUAUGAUUUCAGCUACUCAGCAAACAGAGUGCACCAAAAAUCAUAUGGAACAUAUGUAACCUGCAAUCACAAAUGGAAAGAGUUCUAUGGUCCCCAAUCAUAACUGGGUCCGGUUGGAUUAGAGAUUUUUCUUUAAUAGUGGUAACAACAGAAUCAACCUUAACAUGCUAAUUCUUAUUUAGACAUUGCCCUAAUGUGAUUCUCAAACAUGCUUUUCUAAAAUCAAUGCAAGUACACGGACAUGCAUUCAUGACAAGAAAAUAAGCAGACAUGAUGUUGAAUACACAUGGCAAACAAUCAAAGAUAAGACAAGAGCAAGACAGGCAGUUAUGCAAUUCAGAAGAUUCAGUACUCUCUACUUAAACCAAUUAACACAAGUGCAACAGGUAGCAAGUAGAAUUACAUAUAUUCAAUAAUCUUCGAAAAGCAUAUGGAUUAGACACAAGAAAUUAAUAAUCACAUUAUCAAUUCAUACUAAUCCCAAUCUGUUGUUAUAUGGCAUUAUACUAUCUCUAUUACCUAAGUCAGUUUUAGAUCUAACAUGAAGUUCUAAAAGUUCUACUGACACAAGGUAGACAUUCCAUCAUAGAACAAAAUAAAAUCCUUAACAAACAAUUCAGAUUAGAUAAGCAAAUCUAAUUGUACUAGGGAAUCUGAAAGUAAGUGUUUUAACAAAGUUAUACAUGCUAGGAUCAUAACCCCUAAAACUAAGAGUCGUGUUCCAAAGGAAAGCUUCUAAUCUCACCAUUGCAAAUAAUCAAAUCCUAAAUAUUCAUACACAUGUUAAGAAUCUGCUAAAGACACAUGCACAAGAUUAUCAUCAAUCCUAGUUACCAGAACAGUGAUCUAGCAUACUGGUCCAAUCAUUAUCUACUGUGAUGCUAUCAUGCUUGUGCUUGUGUGUUAAACAAUUCUACUCAGAUAUUUAUAACAUGCUUUGAAUAUAAUGAGAUAAGUAUUGCAGACUUAGAAAGGAUUCAUUCCUGAGAUGUGCAAAGUGAAUCACCUUCAGAGAAUGCUUGGAUAGCCAGAUAACCAUAAUCAUCCUUCUCAUCAGCAACUGAUUCAGCUCACACCUUUCCUAAAAUAGCAUAAGAACUUGUUGUGAUGUUUCUUUCAAAACAUCCACUUGAAUUUCAGACAAGCCCUAUCAUCCUUGUUUGUCGAGGCUUCAAAUAUAUAUAGCAACCCUUCUUUGCUAAAGAUACCAAACAAUAUUGUGUGUACUGACCAACUCAGUUUUCAAACAACCUGUCGAACUGAACCCCGAAGAGUCUCCACUUGAAACCAAUGGAUUCCAUCUGAAUCUGACAUGACUAAACCUCUCAGACAGUGUUAUGCUAAUCCUUGAAGUUCUGUCCUCACAUUCUUCAAAAGUG
This 1944-nucleotide long non-coding RNA is filed under the name Daucus carota (carrot). RNAcentral describes it as "long non-coding RNA (DCAR_LNC001234)". The record is from RNAcentral. Lineage: Eukaryota; Viridiplantae; Streptophyta; Magnoliopsida; Apiales; Apiaceae.